UACGAAGGGGGCUAGCGUUGUUCGGAAUUACUGGGCGUAAAGGGCGCGUAGGCGGUCCGGUAAGUCCGCUGUGAAAGUCGAGGGCUCAACCCUCGAAUGCCGGUGGAUACUGUCGGGCUAGAGUGCGGAAGAGGCGAGUGGAAUUCCUGGUGUAGCGGUGAAAUGCGCAGAUAUCAGGAGGAACACCUAUUGCGAAGGCAGCUCGCUGGGACGUUACUGACGCUGAGACGCGAAAGCGUGGGGAGCAAACCGG
Molecule: ribosomal RNA, 253 nt
Filed under: uncultured bacterium
Lineage: Bacteria
Description: partial 16S ribosomal RNA
Rfam family: Bacterial small subunit ribosomal RNA
Source: RNAcentral